ACCUAUAGCCAUGCCAUCCUGAACAAGCCCGAUCCCGUCUGAUCUCGGAAGCUAAGCAGGGUCGGGCCUGGUUAGUACUUGGAUGGGAGACCACCUAGGAAGACCAGGUGCUGUAGGUG
RNAcentral lists this ribosomal RNA (119 nucleotides) under Pteropus alecto (black flying fox). The record is from RNAcentral. Lineage: Eukaryota; Metazoa; Chordata; Mammalia; Chiroptera; Pteropodidae.